UGCGCAGGCGGGCUAUUAAGUCAGUGGCGAAAUCUCUCGGCUCAACCGAGAAACUGCCAUUGAAACUGAUAGUCUUGAGUAUGGUUGUGGUAGGCGGAAUAUAGCAUGUAGCGGUGAAAUGCUUAGAUAUGCUAUAGAACACCGAUCGCGAAGGCAGCUUACCAAACCAUUACUGACGCUCAUGCACGAAAGCGUGGGGAGCAAACAGGAUUAGAUACCCUGGUAGUCC
Molecule: ribosomal RNA, 229 nt
Filed under: uncultured bacterium
Lineage: Bacteria
Description: partial 16S ribosomal RNA
Rfam family: Bacterial small subunit ribosomal RNA
Source: RNAcentral